CCUACGGGUGGCAGCAGUGGGGAAUAUUGGACAAUGGGCGAAAGCCUGAUCCAGCCAUGCCGCGUGUGUGAAGAAGGCCUUCGGGUUGUAAAGCACUUUCAGUGGGGAAGAAAGCCUUGGGGCUAAUACCCUCGAGGAAGGACAUCACCCACAGAAGAAGCACCGGCUAACUCCGUGCCAGCAGCCGCGGUAAUACGGAGGGUGCGAGCGUUAAUCGGAAUUACUGGGCGUAAAGCGCGCGUAGGCGGUCUGAUAAGCCGGUUGUGAAAGCCCCGGGCUCAACCUGGGAACGGCAUCCGGAACUGUCAGGCUAGAGUGCAGGAGAGGAAGGUAGAAUUCCCGGUGUAGCGGUGAAAUGCGUAGAGAUCGGGAGGAAUACCAGUGGCGAAGGCGGCCCUCUGGACUGACACUGACGCUGAGGUGCGAAAGCGUGGGUAGCAAACAGGAUUAGAUACCCCUGUAGUC
RNAcentral lists this ribosomal RNA (465 nucleotides) under Vreelandella stevensii. RNAcentral describes it as "partial 16S ribosomal RNA". It matches the Rfam family "Bacterial small subunit ribosomal RNA", at positions 338 to 795 of the family's 1533-position model. Lineage: Bacteria; Pseudomonadati; Pseudomonadota; Gammaproteobacteria; Oceanospirillales; Halomonadaceae. The record is from RNAcentral.